GAUCCUGGCUCAGGACGAACGCUGGCGGCGCGCCUAACACAUGCAAGUCGAACGAGAGAUGAGGAGCUUGCUCUUCAAAUCGAGUGGCGAACGGGUGAGUAACGCGUGAGGAACCUGCCUCAAAGAGGGGGACAACAGUUGGAAACGACUGCUAAUACCGCAUAAGCCCACGGCUCGGCAUCGAGCAGAGGGAAAAGGAGCAAUCCGCUUUGGGAUGGCCUCGCGUCCGAUUAG
RNAcentral lists this ribosomal RNA (234 nucleotides) under uncultured bacterium. RNAcentral's name for it is "partial 16S ribosomal RNA". It matches the Rfam family "Bacterial small subunit ribosomal RNA", at positions 15 to 244 of the family's 1533-position model. The record is from RNAcentral.